GGUCAAGGGUUCGAGUCCCUUAACCUCCAUUGGGCUUAUGUCCUAAAUCGUAAUUAAGUAUGUUUUUAAGUAACUUUGUUAAAGUAAUUGUUGGAACGUGAAACAGAGGAAGUUAAAAUUUCUGGGUUAAGUUGAGAUCUGUUGAUAUUAAGAAGAAUCUCUAGAAGCAAAAGCAAGCUUUCGAUAAAACCCGAAGUUGUUUCGCUAAAGUGCAAGGAUUAAACAGGAUUGUAUUUUCCAGUAGCCUAUUUUAUAAAUGAUCUGCAUUUAGUAAAUAGUUUUUAGUUAAGAAAUAAUGUAGAUUGCUAAGUGUGAUGCCUGAAAGAAGGACAAGUAUUGUAGCGAGCCUAAAUCCUUGUUGUCGUUGCCAGUAUUUAGUGGUAGGGAUUCGGAUAAGACUGCCAUUUAUAAGUUGGAGGAAGGCAAAGAUUGCAUUAAAUCGUUAUCGCUCUUAUGUUUUAGGUUACAAGUUUGCCACAAUAACCCAAAAAAGCUAAGCA
RNAcentral lists this unclassified non-coding RNA (500 nucleotides) under Borreliella burgdorferi (Lyme disease spirochete). Its description in RNAcentral is "partial 16S-23S ribosomal RNA intergenic spacer". The record is from RNAcentral. Lineage: Bacteria; Pseudomonadati; Spirochaetota; Spirochaetia; Spirochaetales; Borreliaceae.